CCGGGUGUAGCGCAGCUGGUAGCGCGCCUCGUUCGGGACGAGGAAGCCGUGGGUUCGAAUCCCGUCACUCGGACCA
This 76-nucleotide transfer RNA is filed under the name Angelakisella sp. RNAcentral describes it as "tRNA-Pro". It matches the Rfam family "tRNA". From Rfam's summary of the family: Transfer RNA (tRNA) molecules are approximately 80 nucleotides in length. Lineage: Bacteria; Bacillati; Bacillota; Clostridia; Eubacteriales; Oscillospiraceae. The record is from RNAcentral.